GAAAGGCGCUUGGAAUUAACUGAUUCAAUUAAACUUUCAGACCUGAGAAGCUUGAGGGUAACAUUGACAAAGACAUGCAUAACAGUAGCGUCCCAUUCACAUGGGGCAGAAGUGCCAGAGAAGAGCUAAUUCUGGGUCCAUCCAGGGGUCUGGUGAAAGGAGCGUUCCUGCUUUGGUAGAAGGGUGCAAAUUGGGGUACUCAAGUGGAUUCUGACCCCGUGCUUAUUGGUGGCGCGCACUGGGCACGAACCUGCAGAUAACAUCUCAGCCAGCCUGGGCUGGGUAGUCCUGCCUGCUUCUCACAACAGAUUCCUUCAGGGAAGGACGGAAGGGAAGCAGCAGGAGGAGAGUGCCGACAUCCUGACUGUGUGUUUGAUCUGUCUUGGAAACCAGUGAUCACACUAGUGGUGGUAAUUAUGACACAGAAAUUAGGAUAAACCAGGGGGAAAAAAAAAAAAAAAAAAAAAAAAAAAAGUGCAGCAAAGUGUGUUACUUUGCUCUGAACAGAAGAGAAAAUGAAGCCUUUCUCUCAGCAAGCACCAAAGCACAUAUUUUGUAAAAUUGCACUACUAAUAUAUACCUCCCACUGAGGGACAUCCUUAUCUCUGCAGUGCCCUGCACACUGCCUCCUAUGCAGGCCUUACAUUAUAGUGCUCACAUGGCAAAUCCUCAGCAGAUCCCAUCUUCCAAGGGCUGACUCUGGGAGACAUACCGCAUCAGUCACUCUGUCAGGAGGGCCAACAGCAUUUCACUGAAUUCAGUUUUGUUCUAGG
Long non-coding RNA from Oxyura jamaicensis (ruddy duck), 773 nucleotides. RefSeq lists it as uncharacterized. NCBI's taxonomy places the organism in Eukaryota, Metazoa, Chordata, Aves, Anseriformes, Anatidae. The transcript has 2 exons. The record is from RefSeq and is a predicted model, not a curated record.